AGAGUUUGAUCAUGGCUCAGAACGAACGCUGGCGGCAGGCCUAACACAUGCAAGUCGAGCGCCCAGCAAUGGGAGCGGCGGACGGGUGAGUAACACGUGGGAAUAUGCCCUUUGGUUCAGAACAACUCAGGGAAACUUGAGCUAAUACUGGAUGAGCCGGUAACGGGAAAGAUUUAUCGCCAAAGGAUUAGCCCGCGUCCGAUUAGCUAGUUGGUGAGGUAAUGGCUCACCAAGGCACCGAUCGGUAGCUGGUUUGAGAGAACGACCAGCCACACUGGGACUGAGACACGGCCCAGACUCCUACGGGAGGCAGCAGUGGGGAAUCUUGGACAAUGGGGGAAACCCUGAUCCAGCCAUGCCGCGUGAGUGAUGAAGGCCUUCGGGUUGUAAAACUCUUUCGACGGGGACGAUAAUGACGGUACCCGUAGAAGAAGCUCCGGCUAACUUCGUGCCAGCAGCCGCGGUAAUACGAAGGGGGCUAGCGUUGUUCGGAAUUACUGGGCGUAAAGCGCGCGCAGGCGGCCUUCCAAGUCAGGGGUGAAAGCCCGGAGCUCAACUCCGGAAUUGCCUUUGAAACUGUUAGGCUUGAGUACGGGAGAGGUGAGUGGAAUUCCCAGUGUAGAGGUGAAAUUCGUAGAUAUUGGGAAGAACACCGGUGGCGAAGGCGGCUCACUGGCCCGUUUCUGACGCUCAUGCGCGACAGCGUGGGGAUCAAACAGGAUUAGAUACCCUGGUAGUCCACGCCGUAAACGAUGGACGCUAGCCGUUGGCAAGCUUGCUUGUCAGUGGCGCAGCUAACGCAUUAAGCGUCCCGCCUGGGGAGUACGGCCGCAAGGUUGAACUCAAAGGAAUUGACGGGGCCCCGCACAAGCGGUGGAGCAUGUGGUUUAAUUCGACGCACGCCGCAAACCUUACCAGGGU
Molecule: ribosomal RNA, 921 nt
Filed under: uncultured bacterium
Lineage: Bacteria
Description: bacterial SSU rRNA
Rfam family: Bacterial small subunit ribosomal RNA
Source: RNAcentral